CUCUGACUUUGGGCUUGUGUUGGCCUGUCUGGAGCGGUGAUUUGGCUUGGAGGAGCUGGUGGCUUUGGCUUCAGAAACGUGUGUGACAUAACACCUGCUGUGAUAUCUGGGGUUUGCAGGAGAUGGCUGCUAAUAACAGUUAGUUGUUAUGCAUGGAAUAACUGUCCCUGACUGCAGCAGGAGCACAGUGUGUGCCAGGACAGACAGAUGAUUGUAGCAGGAGCCUUGAACCAUCACAGGAAGGAGGCACCAGAGCUAGAAACCCACCAGAGCUAGUUCCCUGGUUAGCAAAGAAAGGCAGCUCUGGGAAAUGAGAAAAGCAGUGCUUGGGACAGCAAAGAGAAGAAAGUAUGGAACACAUUUACUGGACAGCAAAUGUGGAUACGCCAUGGAGCCCUGAGCAAGGGAAGAAAGACAAAGGCAUGGAGGUUGCCAGCAAAAGUGUAGAAACUUCCACUGAGUUCUCACAUGUGGAUGAAGAAAUCAAUAUCAUACUCCUGGCAAUUAACUUGGUAUGCUGCUGGCUUCUCCACUGGCAGCCCAAAAACUUCCCUGUCAGGACAUGGGAAAUGAGUGGAAGGAAGUUGUCACAAGACUAGCAAGUAGAAGAAAGGCAACCCUAGAAGCAGUGAGAGCUCACCCAAUGGAGUUGAAUCCAUAUGAGAUGCUGUACUCUGACAGCAUCACUAUAUUGCAGAAUGUACUUUUGAGGAAAGUUUAUUUAAUAUGCUUGUAUAAACAUUCCAGGAGCAUAAAGAAGAACCAUUGGGAGUUUUGCCAACUCAUGUCUGAACACAGUGUAAAGACUCUCUUUCUCUGGAUGUAACCAGUGGCAGCAGUUAAAGGAGAUAUGAUAGCUCCUCUGCAGAUGACUUACCACAAAUUUUUUUAACUUUAGGAACAAGCAAAAACAUAUUGCUUUUUUACUUUGUUUUUAAACUAGGUGACAUGGGCCAGUUCUAAUCUCUUCAACAAGGACAUAAGGCCUGUAUAAACUUCAGUGAGUAGAAAUGCUGUCAGGCUGUGAGAUUAUUUUGCGUAUAGAAAGUUUCUCUUUCUGUUCUGGCAAACACAGCAGCAAGAUGUACUGUAUUUAAGUGAACUAAUGUGCAUAUAAAACUUUAACAAUUAGCUUGUGGACUUUAGAACAAAUUCACCAGACAUAUGCCUAUGUGAAUUGAGAUCUAGUUGACAUCCUUUUUUAAACAUGUUUAUAGACCAGGCAUUUUUUUCUCACGUUGUUAGCCCUGAAGGUUAGAUUAAACCUUCAUAAAGACUUUGACACACUUCAUUAAAAAGUAAAAUGGCAUCACUGGAGUGACUUUAAGUCACAAGAUGAAGGAAAAACUGACUAAACUUAUUGAAAAAUUCUUUGCAGAUCUACCACAGAAGCUUAAUUCCAGUUUUUAAAUAAGAGAGCUUUGCUUUUUUUUUUUUUUUUUUUUUUACAUGCUGGUAUUUAGUAAAUAGGAAUAGAUUUUUACUUUUAUUUCAAAGUUUUCCUCUCAUUAGUAUCCUCUCCUACUUCUUUUUGUUUUCAAAAUUCUUG
Molecule: long non-coding RNA, 1549 nt
Filed under: Cyanistes caeruleus (blue tit)
Lineage: Eukaryota; Metazoa; Chordata; Aves; Passeriformes; Paridae
Description: lncRNA (ENSCCEG00000000211.1)
Source: RNAcentral